This is a long non-coding RNA of Saccostrea cuccullata (small rock oyster), 492 nucleotides long. RefSeq lists it as uncharacterized. The transcript is spliced from 3 exons. NCBI's taxonomy places the organism in Eukaryota, Metazoa, Mollusca, Bivalvia, Ostreida, Ostreidae. The record is from RefSeq and is a predicted model, not a curated record.
AGAUGUGCGAACUCUUUUUAUCGUUCUUGGUGUUAGCGUUCCACUUUGUAUCCUAAUGGUCGCUUUAAUAAUCGUAUGCAUUUACCAUCACAAAAAUUCCAAUCUUACAAGAGUAAUUGAUAUCAUGGAGACAAAUUUGAAAAUGAAGGAAUACAAAAACCUUCCUUGUCCUCACGAAGAAAAGAAAGGGAUUGAAAAGGAUUUCGUAAGACCUGCAUGGGUUUACUAAGAGCGGGGAGCCUUGAACUGAAAACGCAAAUCAUCAAACAAAACCGAACACUUUAUAGUUUAUAGACAUUUCGAGUGUAACAGAAUUUUUUUUUAGUCACUUAAAAUAUGUUACUAAAUAAAAAAAGGGAAAUAAUUAUUUUGUGCACAAAUCUGUAAAUUGAACUUAUCGAAGAAUGUUUCAUGGUAAAUAUUUCACUUGAAAGAGUGUUAUGCAAUACUUUGUUGAAAAUAUAAAUGUCACUGUUUUAUCACUACCACUAU